CUGCAUCAUUCUGAGAAAUUCCGUCCUGCUUUUGGUGUGCUCACAAUUCAUUCCCUGCUUAUUUUGACACUGCUGCAAACAUUUCCAAGCCUUUUCUGACACUCCAUAGCCAGCAGAAUGUCUCCCACAGAAGACAGUCGUUGAUGAGACUUUAGCCUGCAGGGACUCCGUGGUUUCCUGGGUGACUUUGCCGGGUGAUUCUGAUAGUGGUGGCCCUACACUGACUGCUGUUUUCAUCCUGUGAUAUGCAGAGAAUGUUGCUAAUUAAAGGUUCUCACAGGGAUAGCUUUUUACUCAUUUUACUUCGGAGCCUAAAAGAUCAAGAGCUGACAGACUAGAAGACUCACAGAUUGGCUCAGAGGAGGCACGAGGAGACAAACAGAAUACAGCUUCUUGGGCUGGGGUUAUAGUCAUUCCACAGAAGAUCUUACUGCAGCACCAGCUGAUGUAGCUGCCUGUGGAUUAAGCUGCCUUUGAUACCAUUUGCAAUAAAGAGCUACCGUGUAUGACAGAUUCUUAUGUCAUUGAGAUUGCGGUGUUCUUCACUGAAGAAGAUGCUUCUGAGAAUCUGUCUUUAAUAAGUGACUUUAAUCCUUUCAUAUUUAUUGUUGUGACAUAUAUAUUUCUAGUAUUUCCUUCCAUAUGUUUUCCUAUGAUCUAUUGACCAUGCUUUCUAGUCAUUUACUUUGUUUUCUUUUAUCUGAUAUUUGUUGAAGGUGUCAAGAUUUCUA
Long non-coding RNA from Globicephala melas (long-finned pilot whale), 731 nucleotides. RefSeq lists it as uncharacterized. NCBI's taxonomy places the organism in Eukaryota, Metazoa, Chordata, Mammalia, Artiodactyla, Delphinidae. The record is from RefSeq and is a predicted model, not a curated record.